UGUGAGCUCGAUGAGUAGGGCGGGACACGUGGUAUCCUGUCUGAAUAUGGGGGGACCAUCCUCCAAGGCUAAAUACUCCUGACUGACCGAUAGUGAACCAGUACCGUGAGGGAAAGGCGAAAAGAACCCCGGCGAGGGGAGUGAAAAAGAACCUGAAACCGUGUACGUACAAGCAGUGGGAGCACGCUUAGGCGUGUGACUGCGUACCUUUUGUAUAAUGGGUCAGCGACUUAUAUUCUGUAGCAAGGUUAACCGAAUAGGGGAGCCGAAGGGAAACCGAGUCUUAACUGGGCGUUAAGUUGCAGGGUAUAGACCCGAAACCCGGUGAUCUAGCCAUGGGCAGGUUGAAGGUUGGGUAACACUAACUGGAGGACCGAACCGACUAAUGUUGAAAAAUUAGCGGAUGACUUGUGGCUGGGGGUGAAAGGCCAAUCAAACCGGGAGAUAGCUGGUUCUCCCCGAAAGCUAUUUAGGUAGCGCCUCGUGAAUUCAUCUCCGGGGGUAGAGCACUGUUUCGGCAAGGGGGUCAUCCCGACUUACCAACCCGAUGCAAACUGCGAAUACCGGAGAAUGUUAUCACGGGAGACACACGGCGGGUGCUAACGUCCGUCGUGAAGAGGGAAACAACCCAGACCGCCAGCUAAGGUCCCAAAGUCAUGGUUAAGUGGGAAACGAUGUGGGAAGGCCCAGACAGCCAGGAUGUUGGCUUAGAAGCAGCCAUCAUUUAAAGAAAGCGUAAUAGCUCACUGGUCGAGUCGGCCUGCGCGGAAGAUGUAACGGGGCUAAACCAUGCACCGAAGCUGCGGCAGCGACACUAUGUGUUGUUGGGUAGGGGAGCGUUCUGUAAGCCUGUGAAGGUGUGCUGUGAGGCAUGCUGGAGGUAUCAGAAGUGCGAAUGCUGACAUAAGUAACGAUAAAGCGGGUGAAAAGCCCGCUCGCCGGAAGACCAAGGGUUCCUGUCCAACGUUAAUCGGGGCAGGGUGAGUCGACCCCUAAGGCGAGGCCGAAAGGCGUAGUCGAUGGGAAACAGGUUAAUAUUCCUGUACUUGGUGUUACUGCGAAGGGGGGACGGAGAAGGCUAUGUUGGCCGGGCGACGGUUGUCCCGGUUUAAGCGUGUAGGCUGGUUUUCCAGGCAAAUCCGGAAAAUCAAGGCUGAGGCGUGAUGACGAGGCACUACGGUGCUGAAGCAACAAAUGCCCUGCUUCCAGGAAAAGCCUCUAAGCAUCAGGUAACAUCAAAUCGUACCCCAAACCGACACAGGUGGUCAGGUAGAGAAUACCAAGGCGCUUGAGAGAACUCGGGUGAAGGAACUAGGCAAAAUGGUGCCGUAACUUCGGGAGAAGGCACGCUGAUAUGUAGGUGAAGCGACUUGCUCGUGGAGCUGAAAUCAGUCGAAGAUACCAGCUGGCUGCAACUGUUUAUUAAAAACACAGCACUGUGCAAACACGAAAGUGGACGUAUACGGUGUGACGCCUGCCCGGUGCCGGAAGGUUAAUUGAUGGGGU
Molecule: ribosomal RNA, 1506 nt
Filed under: Escherichia coli
Lineage: Bacteria; Pseudomonadati; Pseudomonadota; Gammaproteobacteria; Enterobacterales; Enterobacteriaceae
Description: partial 23S ribosomal RNA
Rfam family: Bacterial large subunit ribosomal RNA
Source: RNAcentral